RNAcentral lists this small nucleolar RNA (106 nucleotides) under Gossypium hirsutum (cotton). RNAcentral describes it as "Plant small nucleolar RNA R71". It matches the Rfam family "Plant small nucleolar RNA R71". Rfam says of the family: R71 is a member of the C/D box family of snoRNAs containing the C (UGAUGA) and D (CUGA) box motifs. Multiple nearly identical copies of this snoRNA have been identified in Arabidopsis, and it is thought to function as a 2'-O-ribose methylation guide for 18S ribosomal RNA. The record is from Rfam by way of RNAcentral. Lineage: Eukaryota; Viridiplantae; Streptophyta; Magnoliopsida; Malvales; Malvaceae.
AUGUUAUGAUGAGGGCACUUUCAUAGUAAAUCAUUAAACCGCUCCCAUGCUUCAUAUAAUGAGUCUUCAUCAAAUUGCUAAAGUGAAGUGACUUAUUUCAGAGCUU